RNAcentral lists this ribosomal RNA (565 nucleotides) under uncultured bacterium. Its description in RNAcentral is "partial 16S ribosomal RNA". It matches the Rfam family "Bacterial small subunit ribosomal RNA", at positions 355 to 912 of the family's 1533-position model. The record is from RNAcentral.
UGGGGAAUUUUGGACAAUGGGGGAAACCCUGAUCCAGCCAUCCCGCGUGUGCGAUGAAGGCCUCCGGGUUGUAAAGCACUUUUGGCAGGAAAGAAACGUCGCGGGUUAAUACCCCGCGAAACUGACGGUACCUGCAGAAUAAGCACCGGCUAACUACGUGCCAGCAGCCGCGGUAAUACGUAGGGUGCAAGCGUUAAUCGGAAUUACUGGGCGUAAAGCGUGCGCAGGCGGUUCGGAAAGAAAGAUGUGAAAUCCCAGAGCUUAACUUUGGAACUGCAUUUUUAACUACCGGGCUAGAGUGUGUCAGAGGGAGGUGGAAUUCCGCGUGUAGCAGUGAAAUGCGUAGAUAUGCGGAGGAACACCGAUGGCGAAGGCAGCCUCCUGGGAUAACACUGACGCUCAUGCACGAAAGCGUGGGGAGCAAACAGGAUUAGAUACCCUGGUAGUCCACGCCCUAAACGAUGUCAACUAGCUGUUGGGGCCUUCGGGCCUUGGUAGCGCAGCUAACGCGUGAAGUUGACCGCCUGGGGAGUACGGUCGCAAGAUUAAAAACUUAAAUGAAUUG